GCUAAUCUGCGAUAAGCGUCGGUAAGGUGAUAUGAACCGUUAUAACCGGCGAUUUCCGAAUGGGGAAACCCAGUGUGUUUCGUCACACUAUCAUUAACUGAAUCCAUAGGUUAAUGAGGCGAACCGGGGGAACUGAAACAUCUAAGUACCCCGAGGAAAAGAAAUCAACCGAGAUUCCCCCAGUAGCGGCGAGCGAACGGGGAGCAGCCCAGAGCCUGAAUCAGUGUGUGUGUUAGUGGAAGCGUCUGGAAAGGCGCGCGAUACAGGGUGACAGCCCCGUACACAAAAAUGCACAUACUGUGAGCUCGAUGAGUAGGGCGGGACACGUGGUAUCCUGUCUGAAUAUGGGGGGACCAUCCUCCAAGGCUAAAUACUCCUGACUGACCGAUAGUGAACCAGUACCGUGAGGGAAAGGCGAAAAGAACCCCGGCGAGGGGAGUGAAAAAGAACCUGAAACCGUGUACGUACAAGCAGUGGGAGCACGCUUCGGCGUGUGACUGCGUACCUUUUGUAUAAUGGGUCAGCGACUUAUAUUCUGUAGCAAGGUUAACCGAAUAGGGGAGCCGAAGG
RNAcentral lists this ribosomal RNA (570 nucleotides) under Escherichia coli. RNAcentral describes it as "partial 23S ribosomal RNA". It matches the Rfam family "Bacterial large subunit ribosomal RNA", at positions 60 to 672 of the family's 2925-position model. The record is from RNAcentral. Lineage: Bacteria; Pseudomonadati; Pseudomonadota; Gammaproteobacteria; Enterobacterales; Enterobacteriaceae.